CCGGUUUCAAGGUUGAAUGGAAGAUGGGCGUCAUAACCCGGUAGGUUCUUAACAAUAGAGCUCGCAGAAGCAGAAUCUAUGACGGGUUGAAGAAGAAGAACAACCAGAACCACACACCAACAUCUCCAACCCAUGCCUCCUUCGAUCUCUACACAUCAUCAACAUUCCAUGCUUUUGUCUUAUUUAUACAUAGGUUUUAUAUAAUUAAUUAAAUUACUAUUCUUGAUUGUAAAAAAAUCUGAAUUUUGACAAUAAUUCUAAUUACAAAAGAUACAAGAUUGGUCGUUGAUCAAAUAUUAGAUUCGUUAUAGAAAAGGGGUAUGUUAAUAAGAAACAUUAUUUGAACAAUAUGGAUAAUUAGGAACAUAGAAAUAGAGAGCGAAGACUGAACAAGUACCAGUUAGGUUCCUGAGUUUCCACCAGAAGUUGAAGCAAGCAAAGUGGAUUUAUUGUGAACUCAGCUUAACGACGAGCUGGAUGGAGAGAA
RNAcentral lists this long non-coding RNA (487 nucleotides) under Arachis ipaensis. RNAcentral's name for it is "long non-coding RNA (AIPA_LNC000821)". The record is from RNAcentral. Lineage: Eukaryota; Viridiplantae; Streptophyta; Magnoliopsida; Fabales; Fabaceae.